GAGAGAAAGUGUCACCUUUUAUUUCUCCCCUUCCAGGGAAAGGUUGGGAGUUCAAUUCUUGGCUCUCUAAGCAAUCAAAGAAAAAAAAAAAACAUAAAAAACUAUCUCCCACCUAAAGUCUUUGGGAGUUUCGUGCUGCAUUUUAACGGAUUUAAUUUUUUUUUUUCUUCGAUCGAUUGUAUUUAUUCUUUCCAUUUUGUGUUGUUUUCAGAGGUGCUUUUCUGAAACAAAUGUAUAAAAUUGUUGUUUCCAAGACUGGUGAAGGACUUGUUAAGUUAGAAAAAGUUCAUAAAUCAACAUUUCACAAGAGUGAAACCAAUCAAGAUGAACAGAAAAACCCUUGGACAUUUAACAAGACCAGACUAGACUUCCAGUGUACACGUGCAAGUUAAAUUGUGGAUGUGAGUAAGAUGCUUUUACUAAGAAUAUUUGCAUUAAGUCAUUCUUUAAAAUUUUAAGGUUUGGCUUCGCUAAGAACACCAUCAAAAUUUGGUGAGGUGAAGGAGUGUAACUUAUUUGUGGUAUCUUAGACUGAGAAUUAAUUAAAAGCUCUUCUUUUGGGUGAGUCUUCCAGUCUUUUAGCAAGUGUCUUGCUUAGUAGCUCAUAAACAUUUUUACAUGUUUCAGAUUGGGUAUAAUUGUUGAUUUUGUUUACAGAAAGUGGUUGAGUUUUUUCCUGGGAAAAGAUCAGCCAUUUAGUUGAUCAGUUUUACACAACUUGUAAAUAAGCUCUUAACUGCUGCAGUUAAUUGCAAUCUAAGUAAAUUAACACAGAUGCCAACAUGUUAAAGAUAAUAGGAUUUUUCAGACUAACAUUAAGAAAAAGAAUUGUUUUAUAUAUACUUAAAUGUCUUACGAAAAUAUAUUUCCCAUACAUUGGAGAUAAUUUAAUGUGUGAUUAGCUCUUUCAGUGCCUGGGCUUUCAGGAAUGCAUACACAUACCUACAUUCAACAGAAACCAUUCAGGUGGUUAAAAUUUAAACGUGUGAUUACAUGUUUGUUUUAGUGCCAGUGGUUAGCCAAUAUUUGGAAAUGUGUGGGCUAUUUCUUUAAGACAUGAUAGAGUCAAGUGGUGUUUGGUCCUGACCUAUUUGUAUGCAGAGAAUACAGACAUAUCUUAUUCCUGUGAAUGCAGUAAGUCAUGAAAUGAGUGAUCAUACUGGGCUGCUCACUCCAAAUGUCAAUCCUGUACACAACCAUGCCCCCAGAGUGUUUUUUUAUGCACACAAGCAAGGGUGUUUAAGUGGCCCCUAAUGCUGUGGUGAGCAGUGCAGAACUCACAGUGAGUCAUAUAAAAAGGGGAUCUAAGUAGAAUGCUUAGCUCUCUGUCAAAAGAUUGCCUGUUAGCUUUGGACUAACUGGAGCUGACUGGUCUUGAUCCUGAGUACUGUU
RNAcentral lists this long non-coding RNA (1392 nucleotides) under Cyanistes caeruleus (blue tit). RNAcentral describes it as "lncRNA (ENSCCEG00000019360.1)". The record is from RNAcentral. Lineage: Eukaryota; Metazoa; Chordata; Aves; Passeriformes; Paridae.